Molecule: ribosomal RNA, 406 nt
Filed under: uncultured bacterium
Lineage: Bacteria
Description: partial 16S ribosomal RNA
Rfam family: Bacterial small subunit ribosomal RNA
Source: RNAcentral
AUUGAACGCUGGCGGCAGGCUUAACACAUGCAAGUCGAGCGAGUGGCGGACGGGUGAGUAAUGUCUGGGAAACUGCCUGAUGGAGGGGGAUAACUACUGGAAACGGUAGCUAAUACCGCAUACCAUCAGAUGUGCCCAGAUGGGAUUAGCUAGUUGGUGGGGUAAGGGCUCACCUAGGCGACGAUCCCUAGCUGGUCUGAGAGGAUGACCAGCCACACUGGAACUGAGCCACGGUCCAGACUCCUACGGGAGGCAGCAGUGGGGAAUAUUGCACAAUGGGCGCAAGCCUGAUGCAGCCAUGCCGCGUGUGUGAAGAAGGCCUUCGGGUUGUAAAGCACUUUCAGCGGGGAGGCGUUACUCGCAGAAGAAGCACCGGCUAACUCCGUGCCAGCAGCCGCGGUAAUUC